RNAcentral lists this ribosomal RNA (233 nucleotides) under Salmonella enterica subsp. enterica serovar Weltevreden. Its description in RNAcentral is "partial 23S ribosomal RNA". It matches the Rfam family "Bacterial large subunit ribosomal RNA", at positions 1656 to 1871 of the family's 2925-position model. Lineage: Bacteria; Pseudomonadati; Pseudomonadota; Gammaproteobacteria; Enterobacterales; Enterobacteriaceae. The record is from RNAcentral.
GACACAGGUGGUCAGGUAGAGAAUACCAAGGCGCUUGAGAGAACUCGGGUGAAGGAACUAGGCAAAAUGGUGCCGUAACUUCGGGAGAAGGCACGCUGAUAUGUAGGUGAAGCGGUUUACCCGUGGAGCUGAAAUCAGUCGAAGAUACCAGCUGGCUGCAACUGUUUAUUAAAAACACAGCACUGUGCAAACACGAAAGUGGACGUAUACGGUGUGACGCCUGCCCGGUGCCG